UGCGGCGUAGGCCCUGCUGUCAAACUCAUAACCUGAAGGUCAUAGGUUCAAAUCCUAUCCCCGCAACCA
This 69-nucleotide transfer RNA is filed under the name Acetobacter cerevisiae. RNAcentral describes it as "tRNA-Leu". It matches the Rfam family "tRNA". Rfam says of the family: Transfer RNA (tRNA) molecules are approximately 80 nucleotides in length. Their secondary structure includes four short double-helical elements and three loops (D, anti-codon, and T loops). Further hydrogen bonds mediate the characteristic L-shaped molecular structure. tRNAs have two regions of fundamental functional importance: the anti-codon, which is responsible for specific mRNA codon recognition, and the 3' end, to which the tRNAs corresponding amino acid is attached (by aminoacyl-tRNA synthetases). tRNAs cope with the degeneracy of the genetic code in two manners: having more than one tRNA (with a specific anti-codon) for a particular amino acid; and 'wobble' base-pairing, i.e. permitting non-standard base-pairing at the 3rd anti-codon position. Lineage: Bacteria; Pseudomonadati; Pseudomonadota; Alphaproteobacteria; Acetobacterales; Acetobacteraceae. The record is from RNAcentral.